GUGGGGUCCACGGAACGACGUCGGAUGGAGGACCACGCCAGCUCUUCUGCGCUCGCUCGGAUCAGCCUGGGGGAACACGUCGCCAUAGUCUGGAGGUAAGUCGUCGCCGACACCAACGACGGCGGAGGCAGAGGUCGAAACGACGGAAACAGGGGUCAGGAAGACGCCGUUGGUCAUUUGGAAAUGUCGGAAGAAUGGAAUUCGGGUUUUGGGUUGGAAGUGAGUGGAGGUGGGGAUUGAGGAGGAGUUGGAGAGCUUGGGGGAGAGAGUGGAAGGGAGGAGUGAGAGAGAGCUAUUCACGGCCAUUAAGAGAGAAAGUUGCAGAGUGGAAGUGUGGAUGAUGAUGAUGAUGGUGGUUGAUAUUGAUAAGCAUUCAAACAGUACAUGUGCCGACGAAGGAUGCGGAUCAGUUGUGUGUAAUACACCCCAGUAUAUAUACACUAUAUAUUAUAGUGGUUGUCUCUUUCCCAGAAGCGUGUACGAAUCACGAGUGCCAUGUGUAGUCUGGUUCUCCUAUUUAGGAUUAAGAUUGAGAAUUUGAAGAUUCAAGAAUGAGUCCUUUAAAAAAAAUGAAAAAAGAAAACAAGAAGAUAUCAUUGUGUUCCAGGCCGAAGUGGUCAGGUCCGAACCUGACGAGCAAAAACUUCAGACGGUUUACAGAUUUCCAAAUAUUGUCUAUCUAUUAAGUUGACCCGAUCCGACCCGACCUGAUGUUCAGUCCUUUUUGUUCUUUCACUUUCCUAUCUUACCCUUAGUAAUGUGGCUAUACUCCAUUUUUGCAUUUAAAAAAUUAGUAUGGCAUCGGCCUCUUUGACACGUGGGCCAGCCUUUUUUUAUACAUACACGUAAUGCCUUCGGUUUUGAUUCCUUUGGCAAGCAGGUAUUAUAUUUAAUUUUCUUCAACAGCUAUACUUUCUAAAAUCUAUUUCCUUUUUUUUUUUUGGGUAUUUCAUUAUUUAAUUAAUUAUAUACCUAGUCCACUUAGAAAAACUUCAUUGACUUUCCUGAUCUAUUUCCCUGUUUGCCUUUCACCCAAACCUUCCUAAGGCAACGAGGUUAACAAAACCACAAACUAUAUAUACACAGUUAUUAAUGGUUCGUCAGCUAAAUAUAUUUUUUUGUUAACCUAAAGCACCUCUCUAUAAGCACACUAACAAGAUGAAGAGAAAAGCUUCAGAAGUAACAAUGGAGCAGAAAGAAGCGAAGGUGUAUAAAAACAGAAGGUAUGUGAGCUUCUCAAAGAGGCGCAGCGGCCUGUUUAGCAAGGGUAAAGACUUCUGCAAAAAGUUUGAAGCAGAAAUUGGCAUUGUUGUGCUCUCUGAAGCAGGCAGGCCUUACUGGUCCCCGGACAACCCUUCCCUCGACGCCGUCCUCGACCGCUUCAUGCAAUCAGACCAGGCACCUACUAACGCCAUUGAUUUCAAGGUUAGACUACAGAAGAAGAGGAAGAGAGAGGAACCUGAUAAUGAGGUUCAGGGACAGCUUGCGGAGGAGGUGAAGUCAUGUCGAACAGUUAAGGACAUGUUUUCGUUGAGAGACAAAUACUUGGUGCUUCUUCAGGACCAUACCAACAAGAGGAUGAAAGGUUCACAUGUUUUGGAGAAGGGUGAGGCAAAAUGUGUCUCUACCUCACCAUCAAACCUAAGUUUUGAGGAUAGUGUUUGGGUGGAACCAAUUUCAAGGCAUAAAGACAUAUGUUCUAGUUCAACCCUAAAGCUUGAUAGUCAACAUGAUCACCGUCUUGGGAACAACAAUGGUGUCCGCGGCGGCCACGAUGACGGGUGGUUUUGGGAUGAGAUUUUGAAAGAUGGUUACACACAAGGUGUUCUGAAACCAAUAUCAAAAUCCGAAGACGUUUUGUAUGAUUCAACCAUAAAUUUUGAGAGUGAUCGUAAUGUGUUUGAUACUCAUCAUGGUAACAUAAAUGGGGGAGAGGGAUCUUCUUGGUGCAAAGAUUGGGAGAAUGGUAAAGCGCAAUGUGCCUUGAUGCAACCAAUUUCGAAAUCCGAAGAGGUCUUGCAUAAUUCAACCCAAAAUUUGGAGAGUAAUCGUAAUGUUUUUACUGAUCAACAUGGCAACAACAAUGACGAUUAUGGAACUUGUCGGGAUAGAAUUUUGGAAUAUGAUAAGACUCAUCAACUAGCAAAUUCUGAAGACGUCUUGUUUACUUCAACCCCAAAUUUUGAGUGUGAUCGUCUUAACAAGAAAAACGAUGGUGGCGACAACAACAUAUCUUUCUGGGACAAAAUUUUGGAAGAGGGUAAAUCGGAAUGUGUCUCUUUCCAACCAAUAUCAGAAUCCGAAGACUUCUUGUAUAAUCCAAGCCUAAAUUUCGAGAGUGAUAAUCGUGGGUUUGAUCAUUAUCAAGGUGACAACAAUAGUGGUCCGGAACUUUGUUGGAAUGAAGAAUGGGAACAUGGUAAGGUAGAGUGUGUCAAGACACAACCGAUAUCAAAAUCUGAGGACAUCUGGGCUAACACAACCCCAAAUUUUGAGAACAAUCAUGAUCAUGUUCAUGGUGGUAAAAGACAGUAAUUUUUUAGUAAGUUAGUAACCAAAAAUUUGGUGCUUUCCUGAAUAACACGUGUAUGUAUGUAUGUGCAUACAUUCAACUAAUAGAUCCUAGCACAGUUAGAAUUACACCAUUCUGAAGAGUUGUCGAAGCAGAACUACAAUAUAAUGUCAAUUUACAACCAAGAUUGUCAAAUUAUAACACAUACAAAAUUGUCACCGCAGUAAAAGUAUAUUAUAAAAUUAUUAGUGCACAAAUAAUAUGAAAAUCUCACUUGAUAUAUCUGGGUCAUUACGGAAAUCUUCAAGCUCACUUUUAAGUUCACCUUCACUCCUAAUAAGCCUCUCUGCAGCCUGACAAAGCGCUAAACUAAGAAAUAGUUUUUGGUGUAAGAAAUGAAAAACUGUUCUGAGUUAAGUGAAAGUCAUGGAAAACUGUUCACGAUGACUUUUAAGUUCACCUUCACUCCUAAAUAUCCCAACUUCAGUUUCACACAGUUCAACAUGAAAAACUGUUCUAAGAUUGCUGAAGUGAAAGUCAUGGAAAACGCACAAAGACGAGGAACAGUAAUGCUGUUCGCAUCAUUUACCUUAGCUAUCAGAGGAUCCUUUAAGUCAGCAACAGUUGAGUAAUUCACGCGGUCAGAAUCACUGCAUGAACCAGUACACCACAAUCCCAUAAGACAAAUCCAUGUAGAAACCCAUAUAAAAAAACUCAAUAUGAUGGCAGAUGCAUUAAUAAAGUUUUCCUCACACUGGUUUUGGAAGCUCUUCCUUUGUCAACAAACCAUCAUUGACAAGCUCCUCAAGAGGUAUCAACAGAGUGUUACCACAAUUUGCAUCCUGACAAAAUCCCAUGAACCAAAAUUACCCACAAAUUCAAUUGUAAAUCACAAUGAGGAUAUGCCACACUACAGCCAAUCAAAAUAUUAGGCUUUACACAAUUCACAUAUGAAAUCCAAGCUGUGUGUGUAUAUAUUAUAUAGAUAUAUAAGCAAUUGGGUAAGUUUUGACAAAAAAAAAUAAAUAUAAAGCAAUUGGGUAAGUAUAAUUUUACCUGACCAGAGUAAGGGGAGCCCUCUUCAUUGGCUUUCCUACCAGGGGGAACCAGUGGAAGCACCUGCCAGAGGGAGCACCCGGCUUCAUGAAGCCAGUCAAUGAAACGAAACGCCUCCUCCCCAAAAUCUCCAAUGCCGUGGGGUCCACGGAACGACGUCGGAUGGAGGACCACGCCAGCUCUUCUGCGCUCGCUCGGAUCUGCCUGGGGGAACACGUCGCCAUAGUCUGGAGGUAAGUCGUCGCCGACACCAACGACGGCGGAGGCGGAGGUCGAAAGGACGGAAACAGGGGUCAGGAAGACGCCGUUGGUCAUUUGGAAAUGUCGGAAGAAUGGAAUUCGGGUUUUGGGUUGGAAGUGAGUGGAGGUGGGGAUUGAGGAGGAGUUGGAGAGCUUGGGGGAGAGAGUGGAAGGGAGGAGUGAGAGAGAGCUAUUCACGGCCAUUAAGAGAGAAAGUUGCAGAGUGGAAGUGUGGAUGAUGAUGAUGAUGAUGGUG
Molecule: long non-coding RNA, 4064 nt
Filed under: Prunus persica (peach)
Lineage: Eukaryota; Viridiplantae; Streptophyta; Magnoliopsida; Rosales; Rosaceae
Description: long non-coding RNA (PPER_LNC006296)
Source: RNAcentral